UGGGGAAUUUUCCGCAAUGGGCGAAAGCCUGACGGAGCAACGCCGCGUGAGGGACGAAGGCCUCUGGGCUGUAAACCUCUUUUCUCAAGGAAGAAGAUAUGACGGUACUUGAGGAAUAAGCCACGGCUAAUUCCGUGCCAGCAGCCGCGGUAAUACGGGAGUGGCAAGCGUUAUCCGGAAUUAUUGGGCGUAAAGCGUCCGCAGGCGGCUUUUCAAGUCUGCUGUUAAAAAGUGGAGCUUAACUCCAUCAUGGCAGUGGAAACUGAAAGGCUUGAGUAUGGUAGGGGCAGAGGGAAUUCCCGGUGUAGCGGUGAAAUGCGUAGAUAUCGGGAAGAACACCAGUGGCGAAGGCGCUCUGCUGGGCCAUUACUGACGCUCAUGGACGAAAGCCAGGGGAGCGAAAGGGAUUAGAUACCCCUGUU
This 422-nucleotide ribosomal RNA is filed under the name uncultured cyanobacterium. Its description in RNAcentral is "bacterial SSU rRNA". It matches the Rfam family "Bacterial small subunit ribosomal RNA", at positions 355 to 792 of the family's 1533-position model. Lineage: Bacteria; Bacillati; Cyanobacteriota. The record is from RNAcentral.